Molecule: RNA transcript, 2366 nt
Organism: Setaria italica (foxtail millet)
Lineage: Eukaryota; Viridiplantae; Streptophyta; Magnoliopsida; Poales; Poaceae
Gene name: pentatricopeptide repeat-containing protein At1g11900
Exons: 3
Source: RefSeq, a predicted model, not a curated record
UCGACCAGGCCACCCUCACGUUCCGCCCGGCCCAGGCGCCCAGCGGUCUCACCUCACGGUCUUCUCGCCGCCCCGCGCGCCUCGGCGACCGACGACCCUCGUAAGCAUUUCCCCGAACACUUGCCGUGCCCGCGCGCCCCCAAACCCCACCACGCCGCCUAAACCCCGAGGAACCCCAGAGCGCCGCGGAUGCCCGCUCGCCCCCCGUCGGAUGGCCUCGGCGGCGCGAGGUAGAGAGGGGCCCGCGCGACUCCUCUUCCCAUUCAGAUGUGGCGGCUCCCCCCGGCAGCGGCGCUCCGACUCCUCCGACGCUCGCUCGGCGCCACCGCCCGUCUCUCCGUUCCGGGGUGUUUGGUGCGUGCCUUGCUCCACGAGGAGCAGCACACUGCACGCGCUAAUCCACACAUGACUGUGCGUUACCUCCAAUGGUGUGGUUCAGAUGAUGAUGACGAUGAUGAGGCCAUUGAGGCAUUUAAGCAUGAUUGCUCGAUCACAGCAAGCAGUAGUGCUUCAGAUGCCUCAGCAUCUACUGCUUAUAUUGACAAACUCAGCAGAUCUGGCAACCUUGUUGAUGCUGUUCGUGUUCUGCAGCAUCUGCAUCACCAGCAGAUCCAUGUUGGCCUGGACACGUUUAAUGUGUUACUGCAGCAAGCAGCUGAAGCAGAUGGCUUUGAUCUUUUUGCCAAGGUAUUCAGGUACUUGCUGCUUUCAAAACUUGCUCCUGAUUCUACUUCAUAUAUGAAUGUUGCCAAGGCCCUCCAGAAGUUGGAUGAAUGUGAAUUGAUACUCAAGUUUGUAAGAGAAAUUUUGGAAAUAACACAGAAUAGAGACCCUACAGUAAUGAAUCGCAUUAUUUUUGCCACGGCUAAAUAUGGAGACAUUGAUAAAAGUUUGAUCAUCUUUGAAGAGUUGAAGAAAGAUCGAACCUUGGAUGUUGUCACGUUCAACACUAUCUUGGACAUGCUGGGGAAAGCUGGUCGAGUGGAUCAAAUGCUUCAUGAGGUGAAGCUAAUGGAAGAACUUGGCCAUUAUCCUGACAUUGUGACUUACAAUACUGUAAUAAACUGCUUGCGAAGGCUUGGGAGAUUAGGUCUGUGCAAAAGAUUUGCAGGGGAAAUGCUUGAGAGAGGCAUCAAUCCAGAUCUUAGAACAUACACAGCACUCAUUGAUUGUUUUGGACGGGCUGGUCAUAUUACUGAAGCCCUGGAAAUGCUUGACAAGAUGAAGAUGUCCCACAAACCUUCAGUUUAUGUCUAUCGUGCACUGAUCAGCGAUGUGAAAAAGGCUGGACAGUUUGAACUAGCCCAAAAGCUCUCUGAAGAGAUGAAUUCAAGUGCAUCAGAUUUACUAGGCCCUGAAGAUUUCAAACAGAAGUACAAGGGAAGAAGGUUCAGGGAUAAAAGAUAAGAAGCUGAUGAGUGAUUUUUGAGGCUGAAAAUAUUAUGUUCCCAUGUGCUAUGUGCAUCCAUAGUUCCAUAGUGCCAGAAAUUCUGGGAAUGAACUGAAUCUUCAAGGGUGUAUCUCAGGGAGAAUGAGAGAGCAACAAACUUUCAGAUGACAAAAGCAUAAUGAUUGGGAAGUUUCUGGUACAAAUUCAAACAUAAAAUUAUUUUCAAGAUUUGCUAUGCACCAAGGAGACUUGGCAAGCUGGUGUCUGUGGGCCUGUGGCUCCUUGAUCAAUGUGCAAUCGUGGGACAUUGUGACAGACGUUAGCUGCUGCACAAACUCAAGUUAAACACAUAGCUGAACAGUCACAUGACUUGGUUGAGGCUUAGAUACUGGUGACGUGGUAUCAUGUGCAUCAAACCUGCUUUGGUGGACAUCACUCUUAUUAGUCUUGUGUUGAUGGGCAUCUCUACAUGUAAGUUUUUUUUCAGAUUGGUUUUCCAAGAUCCACAAGUUGUCAUCAAACACUUGAAACUAUCAAUUCAACUUGUCAUUUACUAAUUGUAAGCUUCAAUAUUCUUCUCACUGCAGACUACGGAACACAAAAAUUGCAAAGUGAAUCUGAGUGUUCAAUAUUUGGAUGUGAAAAUGUAUAGUUGUUGUUUUCCCAUCAGAUUCAGUAAGAUGAGCACCUUAGUUUUUCCUUCCCUCUCUGGCUUUUUAAGGCAGGCAGGUAGGGAUGUAACUCUUAUUAAUUAGAGCAGAAAAUUUGUUUUGUAAGCUUUACUGCGAGGCAAGAGCUGCCAGCAUCUAGAACGGUACAAAACACUGAAAGGCCUGAUGAGCAAACAAAGUACAGGUACUUGACGAUAGAGCUGAUGGUUGAUUUGAAGCCAGAAUACUAGUCACAUCUCAUAGGUAAUGAUAUACUGAUAAUGUCUACAAAUGUGAUAACAGCACAAAUACGAUAGUCAAUCUAA